Non-coding RNA from Papio anubis (olive baboon), 140 nucleotides. Lineage: Eukaryota; Metazoa; Chordata; Mammalia; Primates; Cercopithecidae. The record is from Rfam.
GGCUUUGAGUGGUGCUACCACCGUCGCCUCUGAGGUUUAACCGAGGCACGAUUGUUGCUGAUUGAAAACAUGAGACCUAAUUCCAGCCCCCCCUCCCUCCAGUGGCAGGCGGAGGCUCCACAUCCAUUUCCUGCCUUGGU